CAGACACAGGGAAGAAAAGAUACAGUCAGUCUGUCUGAGGUCUGCUCAGACACACCCUUGCCUGCAAUUUGACUAUUGUGGGGGGGCCCUCAGUCACAGGCUGCCGGAGGGGAGAAAACAGAUCCCAGCGGCCAGCUGAAGUUGUCUAGCCCAGAGUCCUCUAGGAACGGCAAGAAACAGCCAACUGACACCAUCCCAGAAAGCUCCAAGCUUCUGCUGCCAUCUAAACCAGCCCUUCUGUCCUUGAAGAUGAAGCUUCUACAUCGAAAAGCCCCAUGUCCUCGGGAAGACUGGAAUUCCAGGCCACCGGCAAGUGUCCCAUCGGGUCACCAACUUUGGGUUGACAUUAGGUUGCCCAUCAGUUCCCUUUCUGGCAAGUUUCCCGAAGCGCCAUCUUCCAUCUGACUUUGUUCUCCAUAAGUACUUAUUUAAUCAUGUCAGACUGUGAAGAGCUUCAAUGCUUCUCCGUUCCUUUGGCUCAUGAGACUUUGAGCUCCCGCCCCGCUUUCCCAUCCCUACCCUGUCACCUCCCCAACGGACAAUAGCUUCGCAGUGUGCCCAGCUUCUCUGCCUCCAUGCUUCUUCCUCCCCACUCCACCCCAAUCUCUCUGCUUGUCUCAACUGGCUUGUGGCCGUUCACAAUGCUUUGUCCCUUGCCGCCAAAACCGCUAGCUACCUCUCUGGCUCCCGUGAGGAUCCUGCCUGGGAUCCUCACCGUGACAAGGAACACAUGGGCCGCCUUUCCCGCAUCUGAGAUCAGGUAAGAGAACGGAUUUUGAAAAAGUGUUAUCCCAAGGCAAAGAUUGAAACCAUCUCUUCUUUCAAAGCCUUCCUCCCCGCCCCGCGGCCCCCCCAAGAAGGCCCGAGUAGGUGGGAGAUCUCCGAGCCGGCCGAGGAGGGAGCAUGUGGAUUCACUCAGACAUCAAGGGACUGGUAACACCCAAACUCAUUUUCCCAGUGAUACAGGGCCGGCCCCCCCCAACCGGCUUUGGCUGUCGCUACCACCCAGCUCUCUUCCCCGGGGCUGCAGACACGGCCCGUAGCUCCCCCGGAGCGGGACUUUGUCCUUUUUUGGCCCAGAUAUUGUCUAUUGUGUGAGAGGGGCAGUCAUCCUUUGUGAGGCUGGGACAUAUUAAGUGCUGGGAGUUGCCACCCAAACAAUAAGCUCAGAAUGAAUCACAGUCUUAGAGGAGGGAUGACACCUCAGAUCCAUCAUGUGACGCCACGGGGGUCUGUCUCCCCGCUAGCCUCUCUGUUGGCCGUCCCAUGCUUCCUAGCUGAGACCCGCAAGAAACGUGGCUGAUGGCAAUCUGUUAUCUCAGAACAUUUGUACGUACCGGGACAGUUCCCCCGGGCCCUACCUCUCUGAGGGGGGAACUCUCCCAAUAGACUCAAAUAUUCUGAGAUAAUCUAGGACCCUCCCUCACGGACACCAAGGACAUCGUGUCACUAAAGAGGCAGUGAUUCAGAGAAUUAGCUUUCAAAUCCUGCUUCAAACACUACUUGGGGUAUCAGGCAAGGCCCUUCAUUUCCCCGGUAAAAGUUCCUUCCAACUCUCAAGCUCGGACACCCAAUUGCCUCGAGGCUAGACCUCGGUCCCUCCUUCUAUCCAAGGCCCACGGAUAGCAACAAGCCCUCUUCUUCACUGACAGGAAGAUUUGAGAGCUGUAGGAUUCUUAUUAGCUCAGUCCAACCUUGUAAUUUUACAGAGGAAGAAACCAAGCUCCAGGGAACUCAACUUGACCAAGAUCAUACAGAUAGCAGAACCAGACUUGGGUCAUUUCAAAUUCCCUCAGGUUUUGUCGUUUCUUACCUGUGUGACCUCAGCCUGGUUACUUCCCUUUUCUGGGCCUCAGUUUCCAUCUCUGUCAAAUUAGGAAGGGGGUCUAAAUGACUUCUGAGGUCCUGGGAAUUUGACUAGCCAGACCCUGGGCCCGAAGAGAAAUGGGCCUCUAGAGCUGAAAGAAAUCGGGCUUUAGAAAGAGCCGAGCUUUGAACGAGUUCAGAAUUUCUGUUUUAGGCUACCACGCCGUGGGAGAGAAGAGGAAGGACGGUCAAAAGGAAACUGGAGGGAAGCUCUGUCCCUGGAAGACGCAGGGCACUGCCAUGGGCACAUCACAGAGCCUUGGACACGUUGUUGAUGGCUGCUAACUGCCCUCAUUUCUAUCCUUGGAGGAAGAGGCCCUGGAGAGCACUCUGGCCAUCUGUGUCUGGGACAGGGCCUUGCGAACCGGAGGAUGAUGCCGGAGGAAGGAGACGUCGGUGGAGCAGAGAGUUCCUUGCCCAAGCUGGGAUCUGGGGACCGCAGCACAACGAGCAGGUAGUCGGAGAACAACAGGAGAGCUUUGAGAUCAAGCCUUCUGGACCAAGCAGGAGUCAGAACUGAGGACCGGCCAAGAUCGGAUGGUUCGGAGGAGCAAACCCAGAGCCAGGACUAUGGAUCCUGGGGAGGGCCAAAGAAGCUGUUUUCUUACUGCCCGCUUUCCUCUUGGGAGUGUAUGAGUGUGGGGAGAUGCCCUGGCGUGGGGCGGGCGGGGGGGAGGAGGAGGGAAAGGGAAAAGGCCCAGCCAGAGUUAUACUAGAAGUGUCCAUGACACACGAGGGUCUGUUCUUACCAAAAGGUAAUUAAGCCUGACUCUUUUUUACUUAAUUUAAUUUAAUUUUUUAAUAAAGCUUUUUAUUUUCAAAACA
Long non-coding RNA from Antechinus flavipes (yellow-footed antechinus), 2691 nucleotides. RefSeq lists it as uncharacterized. NCBI's taxonomy places the organism in Eukaryota, Metazoa, Chordata, Mammalia, Dasyuromorphia, Dasyuridae. The transcript has 3 exons. The record is from RefSeq and is a predicted model, not a curated record.